This 138-nucleotide ribosomal RNA is filed under the name Sinocyclocheilus rhinocerous. The record is from RNAcentral. Lineage: Eukaryota; Metazoa; Chordata; Actinopteri; Cypriniformes; Cyprinidae.
ACCACAGCCACAUAUCUCUGUGUUCAGAUAUGGCCACAGGCACAGCCCAAGACUGGUUGCCCACUGAAGCUAAGCAGUAUUGAACCUGAUUAGUAUCUGGAUGGGAGACCUCCUGGGAAAACUAGGUUGCUGCUGGAA